Non-coding RNA from Myotis brandtii (Brandt's bat), 124 nucleotides. The record is from Rfam. NCBI's taxonomy places the organism in Eukaryota, Metazoa, Chordata, Mammalia, Chiroptera, Vespertilionidae.
GUCCACGGCCAAAUCACCCUGAAUGCGCCCGAUCUCAUCUGAUCUUGGAAACUAAGCAGGGUCGAGCCUGGUUAGUACUUGGAUGGGAGAACUAACCUGGCAAGAAGGGAAGGGGGCAGAAACA